This is a non-coding RNA of Pyronema omphalodes CBS 100304, 81 nucleotides long. Lineage: Eukaryota; Fungi; Ascomycota; Pezizomycetes; Pezizales; Pyronemataceae. The record is from Rfam.
UCCGAUAUGGUGUAGGGGUUAGCAUUGGUCGCUUUCAUUUAGAGUGCCGACUAGACCCGGGUUCGAUUCCCGGUAUCGGAA